Coffea arabica (coffee) is the source of this 786-nucleotide long non-coding RNA. RefSeq lists it as uncharacterized. NCBI's taxonomy places the organism in Eukaryota, Viridiplantae, Streptophyta, Magnoliopsida, Gentianales, Rubiaceae. The record is from RefSeq and is a predicted model, not a curated record.
GGGAGGUGAGAGAUAUUUCUUCUUCAUUUUUCCAGCCAAGAGAGUAGGAAAAGUCAAGGAAAGCUGCAGGAAUUUUUUUCCCUUGUCCUACUCCAAUUUCCCAACCGUGAGAGAUAUACUUCUCCAUUGCCUCCAUUUUUAACCAAGUCCAAGUAGCAUGCAAGUUGACUAAGCCAAAUUUACCUCCUCUUGUUUCUUUUCUUCAGCUUAACCACCGAGAGAAAGAAAAACAAUGACAAACAAGACUGGUCACUUGUUUUGUCUCACUUUAGCCGAGAGAGAGUAGAGAGAGUUGAGAGGAAAAAUUUGUGCCAUGCUUCAACCUUCCAGCCGAGAGGAGCUUGAGAGAAGAAUAAAGAAAUUUCUCUUGUUUUGCUUCCACUUCAGCCAAGAGGAACCAGAGAGAGAACACUUAAAGGAAGCUUGUGUCUUACUUCCAUUUCUAGCUUGCUUGAUCGGGUAGAAGGACCAAAACAGGGGAGUUAACUUCUAGCUUGUGUCAAAGGGCAUGACGGUGGUCCGAAACGCUCGUCGGGUGGACAAGUGUGAAAAUUCUCUUUGCUUACUUGGGAACAACUUUUGAAGACUGUGAUAUUUUGAUGUACGAGUUGAGCUAGUUUUAAUACAUAUUCUGUGUAAAGCUCCUCGAUGCUUGGAAACUCUGAAUGUACUUGAAUCCAAAUAUUUUCCUUUUAUUUGUAAAUUACAAACGUAUAUGUAUAAAACUAUUUACCCUGUUCACGUAUCCUAUUUGGUUUGGAAAUGUUUUCCCGAGUUAUAUGGCUA